This 1795-nucleotide long non-coding RNA is filed under the name Homo sapiens (human). RNAcentral describes it as "BDNF antisense RNA". The record is from RNAcentral. Lineage: Eukaryota; Metazoa; Chordata; Mammalia; Primates; Hominidae.
GUAUCGCGAGAUCAGGAAGGUGGCCGAGUGUGUCGCCGCGGCCAUCAGGCACUUCUCCUUCCUGCCCUUGUAUGAAGAAGGAUGUGUUUGCUUCCCCUUGUGCCAUGAUUGUAAAUUUCCUGAGGCCUCCUCAGCCCUGCAGAACUGGCUAGAGCAAUGUAUCUUAGGCUCACUUAAGGAAGCUGUAGAGAUGAGCCCAAGGAGGGAAACCAGAAGAGCCCCCCAGGCUCACCAGUUGUUUGUUGGCUCCCUACAAACAUGUCAUUCAAGUGGCUAAUCUUACAACAGCACAAAUUCAUCUAACCAGAGAUACUCUAUUAUAGCAAAGAAGAAAGAUAAUUUCAUUGAGCCAUCCUGUUUUACAGCACCCAACAGAAUCCCUUCAAAGCCUCGUGGUCUGACACCCUAUGCUACGUGACUUGUGACCCAUCCAUUUGUCAUGUUCUUCGGGAAUGUGGCUAAGGGGCUAAGAUGUGACUUGAAAAGAAAGGUAGAACAAGAUCAUCUCAAAUUUAUUAUCAAGGAAUAGUUCAGAAAACGACUUCAGACCACAGAGACAGCAGAACAGAUGGUCCGGCAUGGAUAGAGCAUCAGACACUCACAGACUGUGCCAACAAGAGCCAUCGAGUCAAAACAGCCAAAGGAAGGAGGGUCAUGGAAUGGGUUCUCUCACACCAAACUGAUGCCCAGAGGCCCUCAGCAUGAAUAACAAAGGCAACCAGACCCACAAGCCAUACUGAGUGGAUACAAAACCUAUACCUAGGCUGACAUCCCAAAUGUGUGUGGCAAGUUAGAUGAUGAUGGCACAAAAGACAGAACACCUUGCUUCUGGCCAUUGUCAGCUCUUGGAAGAGAGCACACUUUUAGAGGAGCAGCUGCAAGGAGCCUGAGAACAAAACUGGAAAUGUCUGUUAUGAAAGCCUUCACAGGAAAUUCUGCAAGUGGCAACGUGGGUCCAUUCCGUGUGUGUCACUAGAGCUGGCGCAAGCCCAUGGCCAUGGUGAGGCAGCGUUUCCACUGGAACUAAUCUGAUACCUGCACCAGCUCUUGCAACUGUGCAGUGUUCCCACUGCAAACUACGGAUGGGAGAGGAUAAAGAACUUCAAUCUUUAAAAAAGAGAGGAUUUUCCCUCCUGGUGAGUCAAAAUGAACAAGAAAUACCCCAGGACCUCCCUUCCCUCCUUGGCCAUUAAUGAGAUGAAGGCAAUUAACUCACAUAGUAUAAAUGAAUCAUUUGAGGUGAUGACUGCAUUUUAGGCAAAUGAUGACUUUCUUGGUUCCAUUGGUUUGCAAGUAAAAGUUACACACAUUGAAAAGACACUGAAACAGAUUUCCUAAAUGCUUCAUUUUCUGGAUGCACCAAUGUUGACCUACUAUACAUGUUAAAUGGUUUUAAAAUAUCACCUUAAAAUAAAGGAAACUUCCAGCUACUAACUCAGCUCUGAAUGGGCUAUGAAAGGCUCCAAAGGUAUGUGAAAAAUUACUGUUAUUUUGCUUUAAAAAAUGUGAUGUCUAAGAGUGUCUGCAAUGUUCUAAUGCUUCAAAACAUGUACGUAAGCCUUGUUUAUCUGGAAAUCAUUUCUUUCUGCUUAUAUCAUUUAUAAAUAGAAAAUGUUCUGUAAUAACUUAAAAUAGUUCCACAUACAUAAUGCUUUUAGUGUCAUAAUACUUACUACUGGUCUAUAUUUACCAACAUUUAUCACAUUUUACAAAAUGAAGUAGAAGAAAAAAAAGACAACGACUUUAUGGCCCUGGAAUUCCAGUAAUGGUGACCAACAUGUUUUAAAUUCCAGUA